UAAGACAUGCUAGUCGAGCGUCUUCAGGCUAUGUUGAGGACGCGGCGUACGGCUCAGUAACACGUGGCCAACCUACCCUUAGGACGGAGACAACCCCGGGAAACUGGGGCUAAUCCCCGAUAGGUGAGGACGCCUGGAAUGGUCUCUCACCCAAAGGACGUUGAAGCCAUGCUUUUCAGCGUUGCCUAAGGAUGGAGCCGCGGCCGAUCAGGUUGUUGGUGAGGUAACGGCUCACCAAGCCUAUAACCGGUACGGGCCAUGAGAGUGGGAGCCCGGAGAUGGGCACUGAGACAAGGGCCCAGGCCCUACGGGGCGCAGCAGUUGCGAAACCUCCACAAUGCACGAAAGUGCGAUGGGGCUAACCCGAGUGCCGUCCGCUGAGGAGGGCUUUUCUCCGCUGUAAGGAGGCGGAGGAAUAAGGAGAGGGCAAGACUGGUGUCAGCCGCCGCGGUAAUACCAGCUCUCCGAGUGGUAGGGACGAUUAUUGGGCCUAAAGCGUUCGUAGCCGGCUUGGCAAGUCUCUCGUUAAAUCCAGUGACCUAAUCGCUGGGCUGCGGGAGAUACUGUCAGGCUUGGGAGCGGAAGAG
Molecule: ribosomal RNA, 587 nt
Filed under: uncultured archaeon
Lineage: Archaea
Description: bacterial SSU rRNA
Rfam family: Archaeal small subunit ribosomal RNA
Source: RNAcentral